Molecule: ribosomal RNA, 492 nt
Filed under: uncultured bacterium
Lineage: Bacteria
Description: partial 16S ribosomal RNA
Rfam family: Bacterial small subunit ribosomal RNA
Source: RNAcentral
AGUGAACGCUGGCGGCAGGCCUAACACAUGCAAGUCGAACGGCAGCAUAGUAAGGGCUUGCGCUUACGGGUGAACAGUGGCGUACGGGCUAGGAAUAAACCGGAAGCUACUUUUUCGUGGGGGGUAACGUAGGGAAAUUUACGCUAAUAUCGUAUACGACAUACUGGUGAAAUCCGGGGAUCUUCGGUCCAAGCGCGAUUGAAUGAGCCGAUGUCGGAUUAGCUAGUUGGCGGGAUAAAGGCCCACCAAGGCGACGAUCCGUAGCUGGUCUGAGAGGAUGAUCAGCCACACUGGAACUGAGACACGGUCCAGACUCCUACGGGAGGCAGCAGUGGGGAAUAUUGGACAAUGGGCGAAAGCCUGAUCCAGCCAUACCGCGUGGGGGAGGAAGGCCUUCGGGUUGUAAAGUCCUUUUGUAGGGAAAGAAAAGCAGCAGGUUAAUACCCAGCUGUUAUGACGGUACCCUAAGAAUAAGCACCGGCUAACUACGUG